This 73-nucleotide transfer RNA is filed under the name Stegodyphus mimosarum. It matches the Rfam family "tRNA". From Rfam's summary of the family: Transfer RNA (tRNA) molecules are approximately 80 nucleotides in length. Their secondary structure includes four short double-helical elements and three loops (D, anti-codon, and T loops). Lineage: Eukaryota; Metazoa; Arthropoda; Arachnida; Araneae; Eresidae. The record is from Rfam by way of RNAcentral.
GCCUUCUUGGUGUAAUCAUCAGCACACUCGGCUCAUAUUCGACAGGUCCGAGGUUCGAGUCCCGGCGAGGGCA